RNAcentral lists this ribosomal RNA (402 nucleotides) under uncultured prokaryote. Its description in RNAcentral is "bacterial SSU rRNA". It matches the Rfam family "Bacterial small subunit ribosomal RNA", at positions 355 to 774 of the family's 1533-position model. The record is from RNAcentral.
UGGGGAAUAUUGGACAAUGGGCGCAAGCCUGAUCCAGCCAUGCCGCGUGAGUGAUGAAGGCCUUAGGGUUGUAAAGCUCUUUCGUCAGGGAAGAUAAUGACGGUACCUGAAGAAGAAGCCCCGGCUAACUUCGUGCCAGCAGCCGCGGUAAUACGAAGGGGGCUAGCGUUGCUCGGAAUCACUGGGCGUAAAGCGCACGUAGGCGGCUUUCUAAGUCAGGGGUGAAAUCCCGGGGCUCAACUCCGGAACUGCCUUUGAUACUGGAAAGCUUGAGUUCGGGAGAGGUGAGUGGAACUGCGAGUGUAGAGGUGAAAUUCGUAGAUAUUCGCAAGAACACCAGUGGCGAAGGCGGCUCACUGGCCCGAUACUGACGCUGAGGUGCGAAAGCGUGGGGAGCAAACA